CAGCCGCCGCGGUAAUACCGGCGGCCCGAGUGGCGGUCACUAUUAUUGGGCUUAAAGCGUCCGUAGCCGGGUUGGGAAGUCCUCCGGGAAAUCUGGCCGCUUAACGGUCAGAAUGCCGGAGGAUACUCCCAGCCUAGGGAGCGGGAGAGGCCGAGGGUAUUCCCGGAGUAGGGGGGAAAUCCUAUAAUCCCGGGGGGACCACCGGUGGCGAAGGCGCUCGGCUGGACCGGGUCCGACGGUGAGGGACGAAGGCCAGGGGAGCAAACCGGAUUAGAUACCCGGGUAGUCCUGGCGGUAAACGAUGCGGACUUUGUGUCGGACAAGCUAUGAGCUUGUCCGGUGCCGCAGGGAAGCCGUUAAGUCCGCCGCCUGGGGAGUACGGCCGCAAGGCUGAAACUUAAAGGAAUUGGCGGG
RNAcentral lists this ribosomal RNA (414 nucleotides) under uncultured microorganism. RNAcentral describes it as "bacterial SSU rRNA". It matches the Rfam family "Archaeal small subunit ribosomal RNA", at positions 459 to 872 of the family's 1478-position model. The record is from RNAcentral.